CUACGGAGGGGGCUAGCGUUGUUCGGAAUUACUGGGCGUAAAGCGUCCGCAGGCGGAUAAUUAAGUUAGAGGUGAAAUCCCAGGGCUCAACCCUGGAACUGCCUUUAAAACUGGUUAUCUAGAGUUAUGGAGAGGUAAGUGGAAUUCCUAGUGUAGAGGUGAAAUUCGUAGAUAUUAGGAGGCACACCAGAGGCGAAGGCGGCUUACUGGACAUAUACUGACGCUGAGGGACGAAAGUGUGGGGAGCGAACGGGAUUAGAAACCCCGGUAGUCC
RNAcentral lists this ribosomal RNA (274 nucleotides) under uncultured bacterium. Its description in RNAcentral is "partial 16S ribosomal RNA". It matches the Rfam family "Bacterial small subunit ribosomal RNA", at positions 523 to 796 of the family's 1533-position model. The record is from RNAcentral.